Long non-coding RNA from Gallus gallus (chicken), 1930 nucleotides. Lineage: Eukaryota; Metazoa; Chordata; Aves; Galliformes; Phasianidae. The record is from Ensembl.
AUUUUUUACUGCCUUGGCAGAGGACACGGAGACCCUCCCCCAAGUAAAUAAAUAGAUAGAUAGACAAGAUACAUCCGUGCAGGAAAUAAUUUCCGUCCUCCUUUCGAACAAACAUGGGGGAUUCCUUAAAGUCAGUCAAGUCAUCCGCAUUCGCAGAGAAAAGAUCCAGCCGGCUGCAAGGGCAGAGCAUCGUUUGUACUCGGAUUGCAUUGGAAGCACCCGAGCUCCCAUGGCAACCUCGGCUCCUGCUGGAGGGCUUUAUUCCAUGCGCCGCCGUGGAGAGCCCCGUGGCAUCCUUUGCUGUGCGCAUCCUUACCCUUCAGCUUGCAGCGGGGUUUGCCUGCAGCCGGCCGCCACCAGCAGGAGAGGUGCGUUAUCUCCAUCCAGCUGCACCGUGAGCUAAUUGCAAAUGCAAACAUGCAGAAUUUGCCAUAAAAUGAGUGAGCCACAUAGUGGCACCUACCUACCUCAUCACGGGCAUUUAUGAAGAGGCAUUCAAGAUGCAGUCAAGGCAACCAUGAUGAAGAGCACCGAACAAUUUCCCAGUCAUCUUUUAUGGAUGGAAUACCUGAAAACUGAAUGCAAGAGAAUCAGAGAAUUUCAGGAGUUGGAAGGGACAUCAAGAGAUCGAGUACAACUCCCCUUCUAAAGCAGGUUCCCUACAAUAAAUCACACAGGUAGGCACUGAGCUGGGUCUUGAAUAUCUCCAUAGAAGGAAACUCCACAGUGUCUCUAGGCAAGCUGUUCCAGUGCUCCAUCAUCCUUAUCAUAAAGAAGUUCUUCCACAUGUUUGUAUGGAAUUUCUUAUGUUCAAGUUUUAGGCCACUGUUCCUUGUCCUAUCACUACACACCACUGAGCCUGGCCUCAUCCGCUUGCCUCCCACCUCCCUUUAGAUAUUUAUGAAAAAGGAAAAAGGGAAUCCAACUCAGAUGGAGAGUUGAAAUAGCUGUACAGUUAACUUCCUCUGAAACUUCUCCUAUCUGAGAGGGCAGAGCAGAGGGCUUGGGACUGCAAGAUCCAGUGACAUAACUUGUGUAAACCCUGUGCAUUCUGGGCUUUUAGGCUUACUGCAAGAUGCAGGCAGUCUCAUUGAAAACACAUGAAGAAAGCAAGUCUCCACCAAACAACUACCGAAAAGCAAUGGUUGCUCUAGGGCAUUGCCUAAACAGUAUUACUGUCUACUAGCAGUAUUCAAAAUUGGGAAGUAUUUCCCCAGCCUAGCAAAGCACGUAAGCACAUGGUUAAUAACACACAGUGUAAUAGUUCCAGGGACUCCAAUCAAAUUAAGCUAUGUGCUUACAAGCUCUGCUGAACUGGAACCAGAUUGCAUUAGCUUGCUUUAACCUCUCCACAGAUCACAAACACUAAGCUGGAGACACCUGCUUAGAGAACUGGAGGUAACAGAGCGAUGCAGGAGGAGGCAGCGCUCUGACUGUGGCUGCUGUGAUGUGCUGGGCUGAUGCUGAGCCCAGUAUGCAAUUCUGGGCUUCAGCAAACCCAGGAGUUAAUUCAGAUGCUGUACCAUGAUUUGGGGAAAUAAAAUCAAAUUAACCAGAGACCUUGGCCAGGAUAAUUUUCUUGAUAAGAAAUGCUAUGCGUGCAGAAAGAGUGGAACUUCUACAUGUAAAAAGAGUGAGACACAAAGUGAUCUGUUGGCAAUAUCCAACCCUACAAGAGAUGACUGAGGCAAGAUACAGGCUGGUUUAGAGACUGUGAUCAAAGGAGUGACAGCCGCUUCCAAUCUGCAUGAACUUUGUGUUUUGUCACUUGGGGUUUUCUUACAUUAGCAAGGAGUGUUACUGGCACAGCUCAAGCGAGACUAAAAAACCCUGCCACUGCCACUGCUGUUACCCAGUGCUGUCUGUACAAAGACUAUACUGCUUAAUGUCCUUCUUGUUAAUUGAAAUUGGAUUUUUUGUCUGAGAAACG